Molecule: ribosomal RNA, 526 nt
Filed under: Cantharellus subminor
Lineage: Eukaryota; Fungi; Basidiomycota; Agaricomycetes; Cantharellales; Hydnaceae
Description: partial small subunit ribosomal RNA
Rfam family: Bacterial small subunit ribosomal RNA
Source: RNAcentral
AAUAUUAGUCAAUGCUCGCAAGAGUGAACGAGCUAACUGAAAGAAUAUACAAUCUAAAGUUAGGAAAAUUAUAAAAUAUAUUAUAAUUUUAAAGACGAAUCUAACUAACAGUGUCGUCCAAAUCUGGUGCCAGAAGACUCGGUAAUACCAGAGACGCGAACGUUAAUCAUCUUGAAUGGGCAUAAAGGGUUUGUAGGCGGCUUAUUUUUAUUUUUUAAUAGGCUAGAAUCUUAAAGAGGUAAAUAAAAUACUUAGAGGAGGGCUGAUAUCCUUAGAUCCUAAGUGGAAUCCUAAAUGCGAAGGCAAUUUACCAAUACUGAUUGACGCUGAGAAACGAAGGUUAGGAAAGGAACUAGGAUUAGAGACCCUAUUACCCCUAACUGUAAACGAUGAAUGGAAGAUAUUUACAAAACUGUAAGUGUCGAAGUGAAUACGUUAACCAUUCCGCCUUGCUAGUAUACUUGCAAAAGUGAAAACAAAAAAAUUAGUCGGUCCUAAAGCAAACGAAGUGAAGCAUGUUAUUUAA